This 253-nucleotide ribosomal RNA is filed under the name uncultured bacterium. RNAcentral describes it as "partial 16S ribosomal RNA". It matches the Rfam family "Bacterial small subunit ribosomal RNA", at positions 524 to 776 of the family's 1533-position model. The record is from RNAcentral.
UACAGAGGUCUCGAGCGUUGUUCGGAUUCAUUGGGCGUAAAGGGUGCGUAGGUGGCGCUGUAAGUCGGGUGUGAAAUCCUGAGGCUUAACCUCGGAACUGCAUUCGAUACUGCGGCGCUUGAGGACUGGAGAGGAGACUGGAAUUCAUGGUGUAGCAGUGAAAUGCGUUGAUAUCGGGAGGAACACCAGUGGCGAAGGCGACUCGCUGGCUCGAACCUGACGCUGAGGUGCGAAAGCGUGGGGAGCAAACAGG